Molecule: non-coding RNA, 45 nt
Filed under: Schistosoma mansoni
Lineage: Eukaryota; Metazoa; Platyhelminthes; Trematoda; Strigeidida; Schistosomatidae
Source: RNAcentral
AUGCAACUGACGAGUCCCAAAUAGGACGAAACGCAUGUCUUGGAU